This 1102-nucleotide long non-coding RNA is filed under the name Priapulus caudatus. RNAcentral's name for it is "uncharacterized LOC106804839, transcript variant X2". The record is from RNAcentral. Lineage: Eukaryota; Metazoa; Priapulida; Priapulimorpha; Priapulimorphida; Priapulidae.
CGAUGUCUCGGAGAGGGAAGAUACUAUCAGUCACAGGACAAGGCAUAUCUAGCACGUUCAACCUGCUAUACCAGGGUUACGGACACCCAUCGAUAGGCGUCAACGAACACUGCUGUUGAUUUUGGUUCGCGUGCAAGAUGAUGAGCGCAAAACAAGCGAAGAUUGAUGCCUACAAGGCAGAGAUCGAGCAACUAAGAAGAGAGACACACACUCACCGUACGCUUGUGUCUGUGACAGUAGCCGGCUUGCAGCAGCACUGCGAGACGCACGCAUCUGAGGACUGGCUUCUUGGGAAUGGAAACCCUCACGACAACCCAUUCAAGCCUCUGAGGCCCAGUAUACUUGUGUCGCCGCCAUGCACCGUAAUCUGACGACCGUUCCUGACGUUACCAUCGCGCAAAUCAAACUGGACAAUCGCAUACUCGUGACGUUCAAGUGGACCGCUAUCUAUCGAGAGCACACUCUUCAACGACAAUUACCUACAGAGCAGCAAACGCCAAUCAGGAAUGGAGCCAGUUGGUGCAAAAACCAUUGCAGCUGCUGCCACCUUUUACCAGUUAAAUUUACAAAUGAUAUGCCGCUCUGACAAAAUAAAAUCGCACACGCGAGUCUUACUUAUUACUGGGGCACGUUUAAAUAUUCCUUACAUUGAGACACAGAGCGCGGUUACAUACUUACGCUAUGUAAAUAAAGAGAUGGAGCGUCGUAACUUGACAGCGUGGCAAUCAUAACCACAGGCUGUUGCCAGCUAUAUAUGUACGCCUCUGCAUAGAUGAAUCAUUCCCCUAACUGCAUAACGCGAGCCGAACGAACAAAGCUGUUUACUGCCAACGCCUUGCACGCAUGGCUCGCGUUAUCCGUGGGUAACCGGUCUCAUCCUCAAACCUAGUCGUCAAGUUUUAGUAACUCAACGUAAGCGUCCGUUUGCAUUUAGCAGAUAUUCGUGGCUGUCCGUGCGGAUGAGUUGUAUAUAUGAUGAGUGGAUAAGUACGUAUAACUAUAUAUAAAAGCGGUCGCAACACGAUCGCUCAAAUUGUUCAGAACUACAGGAGCAGAUGGUAGAAAAUUGAAUAAAAUAUAUAUAAUUAUGUGCACGAAUCGA